CCAAUUCGCAAUCACCAUUCAACCCCGAAAAAACCCUUCUUUCUCUCUCCACCCCCUUCCCCACUCUGUCGGAAAUUUCAUUUCUCGGAUAUGCAUGUGCCCUUGAUGUUUCGAUGAGUAGAGUCCCGCUUGUACUGUUAGAAAUUCUUUGUUAGAUUUCAAUUUGUUGUCAGCGGUAGUUUUUGUAAUGCUUUUCAAUUGAUUUUCUUUAAUGUGUACUUUUCCGAAUUGUGAUUUGAAUGUAUUAGCUGUUAUUUUGCGGUAGCUUUGUUGAGUAGUGUGUGAUUCUAGUAUUGGAAAUGACCAAGAGUGAUGUAGAGUUGGGGAUUUUUUAAUCUUUUUGGUGGAAAUGGAGAGCACACGAAGAUCGUUCGACAGAUCUCUUUCGAAGGAACCGGGACCGAAGAAACCUAGGCUUACAGAGGACCCUACUGCAGCGGAUCGAAUCUCCAAUGGCCGUGCCGGAUUUAUCCAACGUCCUGCUAUUUCGAACCCUGCUGUUGGCGGAGGCCCAAGGACUCAGAGGGACCGAGACUCGGAAAGUAGCGAUUCUAUGCGGGGGUCCUUUCAUCACCAGACAGGGGCGCAGUUGCAUCAGGAACUGGUGACUCAGUACAAGACCGCGCUGGCUGAGCUGACUUUCAAUUCGAAGCCCAUCAUAACCAACCUGACAAUUAUUGCUGGAGAGAGUUUGCCUGCGGCCAAGGCCAUUGCAGCUACUAUCUGCAACAAUAUUAUUGAGGUUCCUAGCGAUCAAAAACUGCCUUCUCUGUAUCUAUUAGACAGCAUUGUGAAAAAUAUUGGGAGAGAUUACAUAAAAUUCUUUGCUUCCAGACUACCGGAGGUCUUCUGUAAGGCAUAUAGACAGGUUGAUCCUUCAAUACACCAAGGUAUGCGGCACCUCUUUGGCACCUGGAAGGGAGUCUUCCCCCCACAGUCGCUUCAGCUGAUUGAGAGGGAACUUGGAUUCACCUCUGCAGCUACUGUAUCAGCAGCCUCUAGAACUGAAUCACAAGCCCAACGUCCUGCGCAUAGCAUUCAUGUAAACCCUAAGUAUUUGGAGGCAAGGCAGCGACUGCAAACCAGCAGGUCUAUCCAGCAACAUCAAAGAGAUCAAGUAAAUAAUCCAGUUCGUGAGAAAAGUUCUGGUGUAGAAUUUGCAGAUGAUUAUGGUUCUGGUGUCUUGGGGCGUUCAGGCUUGGGAAGUGGAAGGAUGACAGAACACCUUAAAGAUCCUGGAUAUGACAGGCCCUGGGAUGAAUCAGACAGUGAUUUGAUUGGGAUGGCGAAUCAAAAGAAUGGUUUUGGUCUGAAACAUGGAUUAGAAAGCUUUGUUGCCCACGAAUCCGUACAUUUUGACUCAGAUCUACAGCCUAAGAAAAAUAUAUCCAGUAGGAACACAAAUGGGAUGAGGGAGAACUGGAAAGACUCUGAGGAGGAGGAGUAUACCUGGAGUGAGAUGAACUCUAGACCUACUAUAGCUGAUGCUCCAACUAAAAAUCAAUGGGCCCCAGCCAAUUAUGAUAGAGUGGAUUUUGAAAGCCAUCUCCCAGGACAUCAAAAUAUACAUGAUAUUGGGCCAAGGGAUGAUGAUGAACUUUCAAUUGAUUCCAUCUCCAUGGAUCGCAGCCAAGUGGCUUCGGGGGCUCAAGUGCCAUUGUGGUCACAAAAGCUGCAUCCACCAGAAGGGAGUAUGCAUUUAGGGAGUGGUAAAACCUUAUCAGUUCAGUCUGAGGGAUUUGCAACUGGGUUGAAUAGCACCAAAAGUACAAUGGGCAAGACCCAUUCUCAGUCACAGCUCGGUCAAUCUCAUAUUGGAAUGCCAAGCUUUAAGUUCCCGAUGAAUGAAACACCUUUGUCGAAAGGAUCAAUGAGUCAAGAGCGGCAGACUCUUGCCCCUCCAUCCUCAGCACGAUCAUUAGUGCAUCAACGUCCUCCGUCACCUUCUGUUGCUUCUCAUGGCCAGAGUCAAUUUCUAAACAAUUCUUCUGAGCGCAACCCCACAGCUACAGGUCCUCCUAAAGAUCCUCGAAGGCGUCCAGGGCAAAAGAACACGAACUAUCCUGACCAAGUUUCAACGGAUCCUCCUAUGCCAACUCGGGGAGUUUAUCAGGCAAGCAAACAGAAGCCGCAACCUACAAAUCUACGGUCUACGUCCACUAUGGCACCUCCCACUCAACAAAGGAAACAUGCUCCUGCUGCUCGACCAAGAAGUGUUGAAGUCUCUCAAUUUGAGACUUCUGUGCCUGAACACCGCUUGCUAUCAUCACAAAUUUCAGGCUCUGGAAGCCGCUCGUCGAUGGGGAAUUCAUCUUCCGACCAAUCGAAUCCUUUUACUGUUGAUUCCCCUGGAAAAUCCAUUACUAGUUCACUAACAGGUAGCUUAAAUAACCCUUUCAGUUCUCAAGAAACCAGGCCCGGUUCAUCUGUGAAGAUGCCAAGUGCAGUUAAUUCCACCUCAAAUCCUUUUUCCAGUCUCUUAAGCUCAUUGGUUGCAAAAGGCCUGAUAUCUUCUUCGAAGUCUGAUCCAGUGUUGUCCACAUCACCUAAAACUGAUCAACCUAUGGACAAAGUUCCAGAGACUGCCAAACCUAGUUCAGCUCCAGUUUCUUCUGUUCCAGUCACAUUGUCAAAACCUAUUGUGUCUGUGAGUGACAAGCCAUCUUCAUCUGAGGCUACACUUAAUACUUCUGACAGAUUGGCUCCCUCAACAGACAAGAUAAAACAUCUUAUUGGUUUUGACUUCAAGCCAGAUGUAGUCCGUAAGUUCCAUCCAGAUGUGAUUAGUGAUCUUCUCUGUAAUCUUCCACAUCUUUGUACCAUAUGUGGUCUUAAACUUAAAUUUCAAGAACAGCUUGACAAACACAUGGAAUGGCAUGCAUCAAAGGUUCCUGAGGAUGACCCCUUGAGUAAGAUUUCAAGGAGUUGGUACACAGAUGUAGUUGAUUGGGUUUCAGGAGUUGGUAAUGCUCAUCCUCAAAGUAGUCCUUUGGAUAUUGGAGGUUCAGGUGAUAUACUAGAAAGUAAUGAGCCAUUGGUCCCAGCAGAUGAGAGUCAAUGUGCAUGUAUAUUGUGUGGUGAGCUGUUUGAAGAUUUCUACGAUCAAGAAAACGAUGAGUGGAUGUUUAAAGGAGCUCUUUACUUAACCAUCCCAUCCCCGAACGAGGGACUUGGAGCCACAAGUGAUACUUUGGUUCUUAGUCCGAUAGUCCAUUCUGACUGUAUAUCAGAAGACACUAUGAAUGACUUGGGACUAGCUUAUGAUGUCAAAAUGUUGGGGCUGUGAAGAAUGAUGAGAGGGGAUAUUUUCUGUGGCCUCUUGAAGUACUAUUACUACUAUUACAAGAAAAGGAAUAAUAUCUCGAGGAGAGUAAGAAUUAAUGAUGCUCGCUCACAAUCAAUGCCUAUAGUGCCUAGCACGGAAUGGACAGAAAUUUUGCAUUUACAUUGAGCUUGUAGUUUAUGAUCAUAGUUAAUGGCUAUGCACCGUGUAAGCUGUUCCCUCUUGUUCAAUUUUGAACCUACUCGAGCUUUACUUUUUCCUCCCUAAGCAGGAGGAAAUUAUAGAGAGAUGAUUUGCUAUGGUCCUUACUUCUUAAUUUAAAGUUUGUUAGCUCAUGAAUAGCAUCAUUCAUGACAUGCUCCCUGACAAAUGAUUCCAGUCUGUGAUUUAGAUACAAAAAAAGUUAGGUUCAGUGAUUAGAGCAGAAGGAUAGAUUAUCACUGAGGUGGUAAAUUGUACUGCACUUUGCCCUGAGAUGAUGUUUUGAUUUCUUGCUUAGGGCUUGGAUAUGCCAUUGAAGGUAUCGUGCCAGCAUUGGUGUCCGUAUUAUGUUCCAGAUCUCUUAUAUGAUGAUACCAAAUGCUAAUGUUAAUCUUUCGGCAGGAUGUCAUGCCUAUUUCAGACAUGCAUGAUGCACCUCUAUAUAUGGUUAUAUGUACCUUGCAACAGGUAAAAUGGAAUCAUCAUUUUGUAGACUUCUACUUGUUUUUUUGUUUCUCAUGAAGGUUGUAUUAUUUAGAUAACUGGCCUCCCUGCUAAACGAAAGCGUUCCUUGUAACUUGAGAACCCUGCUUCUGUAUAGGCUCUUUCGACUUCUGUUGGUAUUGGUUUAUGAUUGAUGUUUUAAAUAAGAAGUCAGAUUUUUCCUA
RNA transcript from Salvia splendens (bonfire salvia), 4152 nucleotides. RefSeq lists it as uncharacterized. The record is from RefSeq and is a predicted model, not a curated record. The transcript is spliced from 7 exons. NCBI's taxonomy places the organism in Eukaryota, Viridiplantae, Streptophyta, Magnoliopsida, Lamiales, Lamiaceae.